GGGCGCGAUGUUCCAGCUGACGACAGGUGCGGGUAUCUGUGAAAACGAUACAGAGAUCGUCAACGUUCGUUGCAAUUUGUUACAAAAAUAUUUUUAUAACCGGACGUUUGAAUUUAUUAGUGUUUCGAGAUGAAAAGCGUAGAUAUGUUUUAAGUAAACAGAGACUGUGGCGUGAUUUCAUUGUGGAACCAGCUGAGAGUAAUUAAGGGUCCUUUUCAAAAAAGAAUUACAGGAGCUGUGUGCCAACGUUUCGAGUGGAUCUGAUCGACGUCCCGCUGGUGAUUAGACGCGGCUGCGAUAUUGAGUUUCGCAGUUGGACUGGUGUAACUUUGGAGAGUCCUGUAGUGUUGAGAAUGUCGUGCGGGAGAGUUUGUCGGCGAUGAGGAACAACUCGGUGGUCCUAUGGCUGAUUCAGGUCUCGUAUCGAGUCGAACGCUUUCUUCCGAGACGUUCACGUCCUUCAGGUCUUUCGGGGAUUCUUGAAAGAAAUCGAUUUUUAUUUACCUUCAACGCGUUGCUUCGUAGAAUACAGGAAAAACCAAGAUACUUUCGGUAGAAUUUCUUAUUUCAGAUAUUUCACUACUUCAUAUAAAAGACUAAAAAUGUGGCACGAUUUAUACUGACAUAAUCUUUAAGUGGAAUUUUUAAAUAGUCUUACACAUGAACGUUUUAUAGAAGAAAUAACAUAGAAAUGUAUGCGACGGAGCUAUAUGAAAACAGCAAAUAAGUGUUCAUUAAAAAACACAGUGACGAAGAUGUUUUGCAGUGAGGCUUUUGUACGAUGUUGUGUACCUUCAAAAUUGAAGAAAGGUAAUAAAGUAAAUUACUCGAUUCAAGUUUCAAUGGCCACGUGCGUUGCGAAGGGGGAAAAUUUUAUCUGCGUUCCUCGAAAGCAAGAAGCAAAGGAUUUCGCGUUAUAAAACUCACCGGAAGUGGCCACUAUCGCAACGGUCGGCGAACUCUGAAGUUUUUGUCGUCGAUUCAGAAGUAGAAUAAUGACGAACACCAGCAGAAGAAGUAGGAUAAUGGCAGUCAGAACACCUAUUAGUACCUCUAAAUAUUCCUGACCCUCUCCCGCUGCUGUAACUAUGCCAAAUGUUUCGCUUUAAUGGAGAACGGUCGCCAACCAUACUCUCUGUAUCUUUAUUUCUCUUCGCAUAAGGAAUGAAUCGAAUCAUUCUUCCAUAUUGAUCGAUUUAAAAAUCACGAUGCCUUCGAUUCGAUAAUGUUUAUAUAAAAAUGUAUAAAUAUGUUUAUAUAAAAAAGUAAAAUAGAACAGAAGAAAAGGAAUAUUUAACAUCGUUUAAAAAUCCAGUUAAUGCAUAAUCUUUGUUUGUUCUUCGUUUUAAUAAAUUUAAGAUCGACUAACAAACAAAUAUACACGACUGUUUGCAACUGAGAGCAUUCGAAUAGCCCAUCGACACAAAGGAGGUUAAUCGAAUAACGAAGAAUGCAAUUCGAGUUAGUGGAGUGAAAGCGAUCCUUUUCGCGACACGGACGAAUCUUUUUCCACUGGAAACGGUUUUAUUGCUCUUAAAGGGCGCAGCCGACCCGGAAUGCCCUUCUUUACCCUUUCUGUCGCUUAAAAAACCGUAACAUUUUAUCGCGAACCGGAGGAAAAGGCUAAUCGCCGUUUCACUGAGAGCGAAACUUUAUAUAGUUGGAAGAAAGCUAGAGGAGGAGGACGAAAAACACGAGGUAGGAAAAGGAAGGAGAACAAGAAUAAUAAGAGGAAGGAGAGGAAUGAGAAGAGAAAUAAGGUGAAGUUGGAGAAAGACGAAGCGCGGGUUGCUCGAUAAAGUGACUUUACAAUGCGCCGUUACAUUCUUCUAAUUUUUCAUGUCGGCCAAGCCAGCUGUUUUAUCGGCUGUGUGGCUCGUGUACAACGAAAACGGAGGCGGCGUCACGACGCCGGUUUUACGAGAGAAAUAAAUAAGCCAGCCGAGAGUGGCCUCGCGUGGCGAUCAAGAUCUCAGCUCGGCCCAGAGACUCGGAGACCGAUUUUCUUCGAUCAGCCGGCUCCUCGAUACAGUUUCUCGGAGAAAAGUAAAAUGAUGGCCAAGUUACCUCUAUACCUAGCUUCGGUAUUCCUGCAAUUUCGACUUUAAUUCGGGAUCACAGGUCCCCGUGGACCCGUACACCAGACGACUCGAACCGGAAAAUCUACUCUUUAAAUGACGGCUCUUUCUAUCGAUUCGAAAAAACAAGUAAAAAAAAAAAGAGGAAAAUGGAGGGGGACACGCCAGAGGGCUUUUAAUUUCUUUUGUUCCCCAUCUCUAUCUUGUUCCAUCGCUUUGUUCCCUUUCUUUUCAGUCUUAUUCCUUGUGGUCUACUUUUCAUUCUUACGUAUUCUUAGACUUUCUUGCCAUUUUUCUUUUCCCUCCUCCUUUUUCUUUCCGAUAAUCUUGCUUCUUUUUCCCCUUCGAGCGGCACUCGACGAUAAUAUCAACAGGCAUAAACAGCACGCCGUUUCGUAUUGUUUCGAUACUACUCGCUUCCAUUGGCUUUCCCCCGUUUCCUUUUUCCCUAUUUCUACCACCCUGCUAUUUUUCCGCCUCUUUUCUUCCUUUUUUAGUUCCACUGCUUUUUCUUAUUUUUGCGUUUACGUGGUCGGUCCCUCGUUUUCAUACUACGCUGUUUUCCUACUUCGCCAUGUUCAACGAUGUCGCAACCGUGCGUCCGAUUUUUGUUUUAUUUGCAACGAUAUCAAGGGCUCGAAGAGUUGGAUGAAACGCAACGAGAAAAUUAGAGGAUUUGUGGGGUGCGCGGUAAUGCCUGCGGAACACGUGAUUACACUUGGGCAGAUUCUCUUCUAAUUAAACCGUUUCCGUCACUGUUUGUCUAAUCUCUGUCCAACCAGCGGACCACUUUCUUUUCUAAUUUUCCACUUUCGUCCGAUUAACUGCUUAUUUCACAUCGACGCGACGCUACGAACUUCUCCGUCAAUGUACUUCUGGCUCUCCUCUGUUAAUCCCGCGCUUUAUCCAGUCAUUAAGCGUUACUGCUCUUUUUCUGCCUUCGUUGUCUUUUUGUUGGAAAGGCAAACUUGCCCAGGGAAGAAGUGUUAUCCACUACUGGAUUAUUUGAAAGAGUGUGCGAAAAUGUUUGUCCAGGAGAGCGGGUAACGAGGUUAAAUUUUGCGGUCGUUUGUGCGGUCGGUUAAAAGGUAUUUUAAUAUCCAGAAUACACGUUACACGUGUUUUGAGAAUACUUCUUUAAAUAAAUAUAAUCACCAGUGUAGGUAAAUUUAAUUUAAUAACAUAUGAAUAACUUAAUGAAGCUCGUCAUCGCAACAAUUUGCGUUUUAACAUUGGUAGGUACCACUGACGGCUAAAAUAUAAAACUUGUAUCAGAGAGUCAAAAUGAAAAUGUAUAAUUUAACGGUGGAUACAAUCCCUUGUCAAUAUAUUUUACAAAGACAAAAAAAAAAACCAUUCAAAUCCUCGAUAUCCCCGAAAUCUACGAAAAAAUUAUUCAGAAUUCAAUCGACGAAUGAAAAAUUACAAAUUUAGCCAUUUCGAUCACUUUGGUAAUUAAAUAUACAUAACCCACUUUUUUUUUAUUUGAAAUCCAAUCUUUCCAAUGUUCUAUAGCAAUUUCAUUGAAUUAUUUUUCCCGAAGAUGCCUCGUGCAUUUUUCAUGAAUUCCAUUGUAACUCGCGGAUAAUCUCCACAUGAAUUGGAUACGUACACUUUAUUUUGUUAUGCCAGUAACGCAGGUUUUCGGACUCGGAACGACACGUAUUUGGACGUAAAGCUGUCUAUCUUCUUUUCAUGUUUUUGCACGUUAUCUUUCUGUCUCUUUGCGCGGGGGAAUGUUAAAAAACCGAGAUUUCACGUAUACACGUGCCCGUCUCGUUAUGGCUGGCUCUAACGAUGCGCUUCUUUAUUUUUUCGACUGGAUAAUCGCAGCCACGCGCGACUGGCAAACUGCUCGUUUAUUCGUGAUGGUCCAGAGGAAAUAUUUUGAGUUUUCGGUACACAGGGAAACGAAGAGGAGUUUGCUGUUUCGUCCAUCAGGGACCUGUAAUUAAGUCUGUGUCUUGGUCGUUUCCUGUUUGCCUCCGACGUUUGGUUUCUUUGGUUGUCUUCUUUCUUUAACGCAUUCGUAGCUGGUCAUUGCACUGAAAUCUCAAACAGUUCUUAAAUAACUCUAUCAAAAUCUCGAAUAAUUCCGAGAUAAUUUUAUCAACGUCUCAAACGAUCUUAAACAAUCUUAUUAAAAUGCAAAAUAAUUUUUGAAUAAUCCUAUCGAUAUCUCACAUUAUACAGAACCACAAGGUUCUACAAUUAAAAGACGAUCGAGAAUUUAAAAAAUUUGAUUUACAGUGAUAUACGUUGUAUCACUUACUGUUAUUAAUUGAAAUAGAUACAAUAAAUCAUCGUUUUCUCAGAGUUACUGAUAUAAUCGAUCUGUAUGGAUUUUGAGCUAUGAAAAAAAUGUAAUAAUACGUCAAUGGUCGUUAAAAAUAGUGGUUAUUUUCUCAUUUAUACUUUUGUAUAAUACAUGGAACGCGAUGUUAGAGAAUUUUAUAAUUUACGUCAUUAAAAACUAAUUUCUUCAUGUUUUUAUAUCUAACACAGUAUUCUUCGAAUAACAUUCGCGGAGACAAAUAUUUUUAUUCAAAAUAAAAUGGCGAAAAAGAGGAAAAGAAUGAUAUAGGGGGUAAUAGGGAGUCGAAGAACGGAACGAUACCGAUAUGGGAAAUUUCAUUCUGAUAAUUGGAAAUUUGAUUCUUUGGUUCGUCAAAAAGUAUACGCAGCGAAGAGCUUUUAUAGGAUAAAAAAGUAGUUCAUCGCGUUAUGGUUCUGUAAAACCCAGCUUUUUCCCCUGCUUGAAUUAAAGCGGAUGCAUUCAGACAUGGUUAAAGUUUUCAGAACAACUGACGCGGUAAGGAUGAACCAGUUUUAGGGGAACAACGUGGUUUAUUCUUCGACUGGGAAUCCCGACAUUCGCAUUGGAUAAUAAAAAAAUUGAAGGGCUUAUAGGAAGAACGAUUCUUUUCAACGUUUCUGUCUUUCUAGAAAAACAAUGGCAUAUUCAAUUUCUGUUCCAUAGAUUUUUUGAAACAGAACUUUUUUAAACAGAGUAUUCACAAGCGUCACAUAAUAUCAGAAUACAUCUGUAAUUAUAUUACAGAAAAGUUAUGUUAAAUUAACUAACCAAGUUGUGGAACUCGUGACAAAGCUUUUCACGAAUCCAAUUAAUUUUCAUUAAACGAUAACUUAAGAUUUAAUUUUUUAAAAAAGAUAUUCCCCACAUUACGUGAUUUCUAUGACCGUAUCUGUAAUUAUAUCAGAGAAGAAUUAUAUCCAGUUAAAUCAUAAAAUUGUGGACUUCGCGACAAAAGUCUUUAUAGAACCGUUUCAUUUUUAUCCAACGAUAACUAAAGAUAGAUUACUUGUUAUAAUAUCGACGUUGUGCGAGCGUGGCUCCUGGUUACCGGAAUGCGUUAUUAUUUAAAAGAUCGGAAAAUUUGACAAGGGUAGUUUUAUUACGAAAAAGUCUGCUGUCUAGUUACGAGCCCUUCAAUUACUAUACAAAUAUUUUUUAUUCUUUUAAAACAAAAAGAAAUUAAACAUUAAAGAAAUUAAAUAUUCUUUCUUGUUCGUAUCGCAGCCUUUUACAGGAACAUGGAAAAGGCUCGCGGUGUGCUUUUUACCUCGAUGAAAUCGAUUCAUUAGAACAAUAAGACCGGAUCGACGCGAGCCCCAUCUCCCUUUCUCGUUCUUGCUCCCUUUCUCGAACGAGUACUCUCUUAAUCCGACUAAUUGUUUACGUUACGACGAAGUUGCUACGUGAAUUAUAAACUAUCCAAGUUUCUCCGUCUCUCCGACGGUUACUCGCGAAUCCUCUCUAAUCGUAUCCUCCGCUCGGCAAAGAAUGGCGGCCUGGUUUCGCUAAUGAAGUUACUUCGUCGGACAAACCUUAUGUACUCACAAAGUGAAAGAGGACGAAACUCGAUCGAGGGCUUAUUCUGCUGUAUAAUCGGACGAACAAAUUGGGAAAUUGAUUUUCUGACGGACCGAUGCCGAACGGAUGAUUGCGCCGGAGUAAGAAGUGGGACGACCUCUCCUCGCGUAAUUCGAUUAUUAAUCUGCUAAUUUAACUCGGGAAUAAUAAAAAAAUACAGAUGACGAUUGGUUUAAUGGACUUUUGUGAAUCGAGUUUGAUUGUUCUUUUUGCCGGAGAAUUAUUAUAAUCUUCUAAAAUACAUAUAAUAUCGUGGAAAAUUUUGAAUCUUAUUUGAAAUACCAUAGCAUAAAUGAACAACGUUAAUUCAUUUUCACAUAGGUAAUACGUUCAAACUUCUCCAAAGAAUAUACUUAAUGUAUAAGUAGCAUUGUAAAUCUAUUAACACGAAUACGUUUACUAUCCUAAGACUAGUAACACGGACGGUCGAAGAUCCUUGCACGAAUGUUACUUUAAAGAUGUUAAGGAUCUUUCAAGAUUUUGAGCAAUUAACCGUGUACCUCUUACGAAUAUUAAUACCGUGCAUCAAAUUAUGGCGUAAGAAGAUAUAAGUGUUCUACACUACUAGUACAUGUAUCUUAUCCCCAAGUGCAACCAAGCGAGCAAAUUUUAAUCAGAGUGUAAGAGUCGCCCGAUUAAAGGGUAAAGAACAAAGGGUAAUAAUUAAGCGUGAUGAAGUUACACAACUGUGUUACACGUGCGUAUAGACGUUCUUCGUAUUUGACUUGGUUCUUUGGUACUUUCACAGUGGAGAAAAUUACUUUUUUCUUCACCUUGACCGAAAUUACAUUCCCGAUCAUGCAACGAUCUCGUUUAAUUCGAUCGUACAAGGUGAGUUAUAAAUGUAUGUUCGUAUUACAGAGCCUGAAUCUAUGCACUACGAUAAAAUAAAAAACGUCUUAUGAAACGUACAUAUGUCCCACAUACAAAUCCGUUUCGUAUUUCAUUCUAGCAGAUCGUGUGCAGAUUGGCUUGAAAAGUAACGAUCUAAUGGAACAUUUUCUCUGAUCGUCCUUCGCUAGAAAACCGAGGUGUGUAUAUUCAUAAAGCGUUUCUUUACUUGUUUUAGACUAAAGAUUCAGCCCCUCAGUUAUGGACAUGUAUUUAUGAUACACCCUGUACAUAUCCAACUUAGAAAGCUGAUAUAUCCGAGCCUAGCGUAGCAGAUAAGAUAGAUACGGAAAAGUUUCGAAUGCUCCGGGUGUAAUUAACUCGAGAUUGAUACGAAUUAAAUGCCGCCACC
Bombus pyrosoma is the source of this 7216-nucleotide long non-coding RNA. RefSeq lists it as uncharacterized. NCBI's taxonomy places the organism in Eukaryota, Metazoa, Arthropoda, Insecta, Hymenoptera, Apidae. The record is from RefSeq and is a predicted model, not a curated record. The transcript has 5 exons.